Molecule: transfer RNA, 79 nt
Filed under: Trichosporon asahii var. asahii CBS 2479
Lineage: Eukaryota; Fungi; Basidiomycota; Tremellomycetes; Trichosporonales; Trichosporonaceae
Description: tRNA-Gly
Rfam family: tRNA
About the family: Transfer RNA (tRNA) molecules are approximately 80 nucleotides in length. Their secondary structure includes four short double-helical elements and three loops (D, anti-codon, and T loops).
Source: RNAcentral
ACACUGAUGGUGAAACGGCUAUCAUGCAUCUUUCCCAUCGAGCAAGGAUGCGUUAGGGGUUCGAUUCCCCUUCAGUGUA